Marmota monax (woodchuck) is the source of this 631-nucleotide long non-coding RNA. RefSeq lists it as uncharacterized. Lineage: Eukaryota; Metazoa; Chordata; Mammalia; Rodentia; Sciuridae. The record is from RefSeq and is a predicted model, not a curated record. The transcript is spliced from 2 exons.
AGCUGGGCUAGGAGCACCAUGCUUGGUCGCCAGAGUGCUCGGAGCUGAGUGGAGUCUGUGUGUCUGAGCCAGUUGAGGGCUGCUGGGACCAGACUAGGGUUGGGCUCUACAGGUCUGGCCCCAGGACCUCUCCCAGGGAUUCAGCCACCCGAAACAAGGAUGCACUCGAGCUGGAGAGCCUGAUGAGGACCUGACAUCCCGUCACUUGUCAUCCUUCCUGAGCCUCUGCGUGAUGGUCACCACUCUCAAACUCUACCGCCUCGUCUGGACCUUGGUGAGAGCCGCAACUUCUCCCUAAGACCCCCUCCUCAACCGGUCGUCCACUCCACGCCAGGAAAAGCCUGCUUGGUUCCGGACCUGGUCACCACAGUCCGAGUGGGUGGGCAUCUGCUGGACAUAAAGCCUAAGGCUUAGGACUUUUGAACUUAUCCUGCAGAGGGGAUGUCUGUCAUUAGCCUGUCAUGAUUAGGUGUGUUUGCAGUGCUUAGACUUAAUCUAGAAUUGUUUGCUGUGAAUUGAUUAUGUCUAUUGCAGUGCCCAGCAUCAAGGAUUGUCAUUUUCUUGAUUAAGAACCUAUAGAGUGAAACUGUAUGGAGUGAUUUGAGAGAAUAAAGCACUGAAAAGAGCAGAA